UGAGAAUGGUUGCUUUAGCAUAUGGCCAGAAC
This 32-nucleotide non-coding RNA is filed under the name Mus musculus (house mouse). The record is from RNAcentral. Lineage: Eukaryota; Metazoa; Chordata; Mammalia; Rodentia; Muridae.